AUGACGGCUCUUCAAGAACAGCUUAUGCUCUUUGCUCCCUUGACAUAUAAAAGUCCUGACGAAGAUAUUUCUCCCAAGCCCACAGUUUUUCUUCCUUCAGUUGCUGAAGUAGAAGUCCAUAAGGCUGGAACAUAUCUUUGUCUUCUUGAGGAUUUUUUCCCUGAUGUUAUCAAGGUAGAUUGGCAAGAAAAGGAUGACAAAACAAUUCUGAAAUCUCAGCAGGGAGACACCAUGAAGAAUAAGGACACAUACAUGAAAUUCUGCUGGCUGACCGUGACUGGAGCAUCAAUGGAUAAAGAGCACAAAUGUAUCGUCAACCACGAAAGUAAUGGAAGAAAAGUUGUUCAAGAGAUUCUUUUUCCUUCAGUAAACAAAGGUUUGAUGGCUGUGACAGAAUCUGAAAUGGACUCCCAGGGACAUUCAGAAACAAAGCAAAACACAGAGGUGGUAACUGUGAGUCCUCUGAAUUCAAGAUCUUUCUCACCUGAUCCAAUGGCUGUGGGUGAGUUCUCAGCUCUAUGCUCCACUCUUUUUGUGUUCAAACUCCUAUUGUAA
This is a non-coding RNA of Neogale vison (American mink), 555 nucleotides long. The record is from the annotation of a RefSeq genome assembly. Lineage: Eukaryota; Metazoa; Chordata; Mammalia; Carnivora; Mustelidae.